ACUCGAGAACUCACCAGGUAUAUUGAAGAGACUGAAGAAUUUGCCAUCAAUGGAAUAGCCCAGAAUAGACACAUACUUGACAUGAUUGUUAAAGAACUUGUGGAGAAAUCGAGGAUGACCGGACUGGAAGUCAAGGAAAGAAUGCAGCAUCUGACUCCUGUUAUGUUUGAAGAUUUUAUAGAACCAUUUCAAGUAAACUUAGAAGAGGAGGGACCGCUUCCGGUGAAUCCUCGUUUACACUAUCAACCGCUUGAUGUGUAUCCUGCUCCUCUCCAUAGAUGCUGAUGUUUCUGUGGCUUCCAGCCGAGUACAGGAAGGAGAUUGCUAAAUACGUGCAUGAAGAACACAUUGAAGCUGCUUUGUUGGGUGUCUCAGAAGAAUUUUGUCUGCUGACUUUCUGGAGCCACAAAGUCUGAAAGUGGAUAGUAAUGUUAUGCGGCAAGUGUUUCAGAUUAUGAGUGAAGCUUUGCAGAAUAAAUAAAUUUAACUUUCAAGAUCUUUACAUCAAAUUUGUGAAGAUUUGAUCAUGUAAAAAACAUGGUGUAAAAAUUUUAAGAGUUUGUUGUGAAGGUGCUAUAUAUGAUCAGUCCUAUUGUUCUGUACUUCUAAGAAUGCAAUAUUCU
Phalaenopsis equestris is the source of this 623-nucleotide long non-coding RNA. RefSeq lists it as uncharacterized. The transcript is spliced from 5 exons. NCBI's taxonomy places the organism in Eukaryota, Viridiplantae, Streptophyta, Magnoliopsida, Asparagales, Orchidaceae. The record is from RefSeq and is a predicted model, not a curated record.